GAUGAACGCUGGCGGCGUGCCUAAUACAUGCAAGUCGAACGCUUUGUCUUUAAUUGAUAUGAAGAGCUUGCUCUGAUUUGAUUUUAUCUGACAAAGAGUGGCGAACGGGUGAGUAACACGUGGGUAACCUACCUCUUAGCAGGGGAUAACAUUUGGAAACAAGUGCUAAUACCGUAUAACACUAACAACCGCAUGGUUGUUAGUUGAAAGAUGGUUCUGCUAUCACUAAGAGAUGGACCCGCGGUGCAUUAGCUAGUUGGUAAGGUAAUGGCUUACCAAGGCGAUGAUGCGUAGCCGAGUUGAGAGACUGAUCGGCCACAAUGGGACUGAGACACGGCCCAUACUCCUACGGGAGGCAGCAGUAGGGAAUCUUCCACAAUGGGCGCAAGCCUGAUGGAGCAACGCCGCGUGUGUGAUGAAGGGUUUCGGCUCGUAAAACACUGUUAUAAGAGAAGAACGACAUUGAGAGUAACUGUUCAGUGUGUGACGGUAUCUGAUCAGAAAGGAACGGCUAAAUACGUG
Molecule: ribosomal RNA, 522 nt
Filed under: uncultured bacterium
Lineage: Bacteria
Description: partial 16S ribosomal RNA
Rfam family: Bacterial small subunit ribosomal RNA
Source: RNAcentral